Molecule: ribosomal RNA, 301 nt
Filed under: uncultured bacterium
Lineage: Bacteria
Description: partial 16S ribosomal RNA
Rfam family: Bacterial small subunit ribosomal RNA
Source: RNAcentral
CAGCAGCCGCGGGAAAACGAAGGGGGCUAGCGUUGUUCGGAAUUACUGGGCGUAAAGCGCACGUAGGCGGACAUUUAAGUCAGGGGUGAAAUCCCGGGGCUCAACCCCGGAACUGCCUUUGAUACUGGGUGUCUAGAGUAUGGAAGAGGUGAGUGGAAUUCCGAGUGUAGAGGUGAAAUUCGUAGAUAUUCGGAGGAACACCAGUGGCGAAGGCGGCUCACUGGUCCAUUACUGACGCUGAGGUGCGAAAGCGUGGGGAGCAAACAGGAUUAGAUACCCCUGUAGUCCCUGUCUUUAUACA